UAAUUUUCACAGGAAAAUUCCACGGGCACUAUCUGAUAUGUGGAGACAUUUCACUGCAGCUAGUGUAGAAGGAAAAGCUGUGUACAUUUGCAAAUACUGUGCCAAGUCAUAUGUGAAGAAUGCAACAAAGAUGCAGAAUCAUCUGGCCAAGUGCAUAAAGUUCCCUCAGCGCUCACAACAAGCAACCUCUGACAAAAGUGUCUUGCUCGAGCUGUGUAUGCAACUGGUUCACCUCUGCUCACAGGCAAUGUGUAUUGGAAGAGAUUUUCUGAAUGUUCUUCGCCCAGCAUACACCCAUCCAACCAGACAUGUGUUAUCUACUCAUUUUCUGGAUGCAGAGUUCAACAGAGUUCAAGUGAAGGUCAAGCAAAUCAUAGAGAAAGCAGACUGUAUUGCAAUCAUCUCUGAUGGGUGGUCGAAUGUUCAUGGGCAAGGAAUAAUUAACUACAUCAUCUCCACCCCUCAACCAGUAUUCUACCAGAGCACAGACACAAGGGACAACAGACACACUGGUCUCUACAUUGCAGAUGAGCAGAAGGCAGUCAAUGACCUUGGACCACAGAAGGUAUUUGCACUGAUGACAGACAAUGCUGCGGACAUGAAGGCUGCUUGGUCUAAAGUGGAGGAGACCUACCCUCACAUCACACCCAUUGGCUGUGCUGCUCAUGCAUUGAAUCUCCUCCUCAAGGACAUCAUGUCACUGAAAACAAUGGAUACACUCUACAAGAGAGCCAAGGAAACGGUUAGGUAUGUGAAGAGUCAUCAAGUUAUAGCAGCAAUCUACCUCACCAAGCAAAGUGAGAAGAAUAAGAGCACCACAUUGAAGCUGCCCAGCAACACCCGUUGGAGUGGUGUUGUCAUCAUGUUUGACAGUCUCCUGGAGGGGAAGGAGUCUCUCCAAGAAAUGGCCAUAUCACAGUCUUCCGAUAUGGACAGCCGCAUCAAGAGGAUCCCCCUCAAGGGUUAACAUUUUUUUUGCCAUCCGGGAAAAUUUGAGGCUUUUUGAGUCUGACAACGAGCCAUCCUCAACAAGGUCGGAGUGUGACAGUGAAGAUGAGUUCUCAGAGUCUGAUGUUUGUCACGAUCCGGCUCGAAGUUCGUAACAAAAAGGGAGACAACGUGGAGAUAAGGAAUAACAAAAUAUAAUUAUUAA
This 1153-nucleotide long non-coding RNA is filed under the name Oncorhynchus kisutch (coho salmon). Its description in RNAcentral is "lncRNA (ENSOKIG00005008851.1)". Lineage: Eukaryota; Metazoa; Chordata; Actinopteri; Salmoniformes; Salmonidae. The record is from RNAcentral.